This is a long non-coding RNA of Ctenopharyngodon idella (grass carp), 1025 nucleotides long. RefSeq lists it as uncharacterized. The transcript is spliced from 2 exons. NCBI's taxonomy places the organism in Eukaryota, Metazoa, Chordata, Actinopteri, Cypriniformes, Xenocyprididae. The record is from RefSeq and is a predicted model, not a curated record.
AAGAUCAAAUUCUGUGCACCUUAUUAAUAAACCGUACUAUCUGCAGACAAGCUGAUGAGCCCAGAAUAUGAACGAAACGCGUUUAAUUACAAGUUAAUUCUCCCAUUCUGUCAUUGAAGACGCUUGUGGGCGUUCCUAGUGCUGUAGUUGUAUUGUUAUUGGUAGACUUCACGUCUGGCCAUAUCUUGCAGUCACAAGUGAUUAUAUAAAACUAAGAUAUUGUAAAUGACCAUUAAAUUCCCAAUCUCUGAAGUAGGCCGUCAUCUUUACCUCUAACCAUAGAGGGCAGUGUUGCCAUAGAAUACCUGAGAAAGGCUUUCACAAGAAAGGACUUUAUUAUUGAAAAUGUUACUUAAAAAAAAAAAAAAAAAACCUUUUGUUUGUUUUGGUUGACUAAUAAUUCUCGCUGCAUACUUAAUGUGGACAUUGUAUUCUUAUUUGUUUUACAAGAGUGUUUACAUUUUUACCACACAUGCCUUUAUUUUGAAGUCUGGAAAAGGAAGUGCAGCGGCACCCUGUGUGUUCAUUGGCGCACUUUUUACGUGAAACAUCAUUCUGAUUUAAUGUUACCAGAGAAAGGAUGAACUUUUGGGUACACACUGUACAAAUGUUUGUUUAAAAGGGUUUCUUUCUACAUCUUAGCUCCUGGCUGAAGGGCACAAGUGAAUAACUGACUGGGAUUUGAGACUUCACCAGCAUAACUCUUGCAUAAGGACAAUGAUCCAAAACAAACAUCAAAACCAACACAAAAAUGUGUCACUGAGCACAAAAUGAAGCUUCUGCCAUGGCCAUCCCAGUCCCCUGACCUGAACCCUAAAGAAAAUGAGUGGAGUGAACUGAAGAGAAGCACCAACAUGGAGCUGGGAAUCUGAAGGGUCUGGAGAGAUUCUGUAUGAAGGAAUGGUCUCUGAUCUCUUGUCAGGUGUUCUCCAAACUCAUCAGGCAUUAUAGAAGAAGACUCAGCUGUUAUCUUGGCAAAAAGAGGAUGCAAAAAGUAUUGAAUAAAAGGGUGCUAAUAAUUGUGA